This 198-nucleotide ribosomal RNA is filed under the name uncultured bacterium. RNAcentral's name for it is "partial 16S ribosomal RNA". It matches the Rfam family "Bacterial small subunit ribosomal RNA", at positions 328 to 539 of the family's 1533-position model. The record is from RNAcentral.
ACGCUCGACACCUACGGGAGGGCAGCAGUGAGGGAUAUUGGUCAAUGGGGGAAACCCUGAACCAGCAACGCCGCGUGAGGGAUGACGGUCUUCGGAUUGUAAACCUCUGUCCUCUGUGAAGAUAAUGACGGUAGCAGAGGAGGAAGCUCCGGCUAACUACGUGCAGCAGCCGCGGUAAUCUGAGCGGGCUGGCAAGGC